CCUACGGGUGGCAGCAGUGGGGAAUAUUGCACAAUGGGGGAAACCCUGAUGCAGCGACGCAGCGUGAGUGAAGAAGUAUUUCGGUAUGUAAAGCUCUAUCAGCAGGGAAGAAAAUGACGGUAACGGAAUAAGAAGACCCGGAUAACUACGUGUCAGAAGCCGCGGUAAUACGUAGGGGGCAAGCGUUAUCCCGAUUUACUGGGUGUAAAGGGAGCGUAGGUGGCAUGGUAAGCCAGAAGUGUAAACCCCGGGCUCAACCCCGCGGAUUGCUUUUGAAACUAGCAGGCUUGAGUGCUGGAGGGGUAAGCGGAAUUCCUAGUGUAGCGGUGAAAUGCGUAGAUAUUAGGAAGAACACCGGUGGCGAAGGCAGCUUACUGGACAGAAACUGACACUGAGGCUCGAAAGCGUGGGGAGCAAACAGGAUUAGAUACCCUUGUAGUC
This 441-nucleotide ribosomal RNA is filed under the name uncultured bacterium. Its description in RNAcentral is "partial 16S ribosomal RNA". It matches the Rfam family "Bacterial small subunit ribosomal RNA", at positions 338 to 795 of the family's 1533-position model. The record is from RNAcentral.